RNAcentral lists this transfer RNA (73 nucleotides) under Ailuropoda melanoleuca (giant panda). It matches the Rfam family "tRNA". From Rfam's summary of the family: Transfer RNA (tRNA) molecules are approximately 80 nucleotides in length. Their secondary structure includes four short double-helical elements and three loops (D, anti-codon, and T loops). The record is from Rfam by way of RNAcentral. Lineage: Eukaryota; Metazoa; Chordata; Mammalia; Carnivora; Ursidae.
GCCUGUCUGGCUCAGUCAGUAGAGCAUGGGACUCCUGAUCUCAGGGUUGUGAGUUCAAGCCCCACAUUGGGUG